AACGAACGCUGGCGGCAUGCCUAACACAUGCAAGUCGAACGAAGCCUUCGGGCUUAGUGGCGCACGGGUGCGUAACGCGUGGGAAUCUGCCCCUUGCUUCGGAAUAACAGUUAGAAAUGACUGCUAAUACCGGAUGAUGUCUUCGGACCAAAGAUUUAUCGGCAAGGGAUGAGCCCGCGUAGGAUUAGGUAGUUGGUGGGGUAAAGGCCUACCAAGCCGACGAUCCUUAGCUGGUCUGAGAGGAUGAUCAGCCACACUGGGACUGAGACACGGCCCAGACUCCUACGGGAGGCAGCAGUGGGGAAUAUUGGACAAUGGGGGGAACCCUGAUCCAGCAAUGCCGCGUGAGUGAUGAAGGCCUUAGGGUUGUAAAGCUCUUUUACCAGGGAUGAUAAUGACAGUACCUGGAGAAUAAGCUCCGGCUAACUCCGUGCCAGCAGCCGCCGUAA
This 449-nucleotide ribosomal RNA is filed under the name uncultured bacterium. RNAcentral describes it as "partial 16S ribosomal RNA". It matches the Rfam family "Bacterial small subunit ribosomal RNA", at positions 29 to 523 of the family's 1533-position model. The record is from RNAcentral.